This 292-nucleotide long non-coding RNA is filed under the name Ananas comosus (pineapple). RNAcentral's name for it is "long non-coding RNA (ACOM_LNC024597)". Lineage: Eukaryota; Viridiplantae; Streptophyta; Magnoliopsida; Poales; Bromeliaceae. The record is from RNAcentral.
CGACGGCGACAACUUCGACGACGGCACGACAACGACGACUUCGACAACGGCGACCACAAUAAUUUCUAUAACAACAGGAGAUACGCAUGCGUACGCAUAGCGUAGGUGUGAUUUUUUUGUUGGUUUGAUCAACCCGACCAUCUUCGUGAUAGGUUUUGAACCGAUCAAAUCUAACAUCAAAUCAUCACUUUCGCCAUGCGUAUGUAUUGUUAAUCUCCAAGCCGUGCGGCCAUCUUCGCGAUAGGCUCGACAUGGUCAAAAUAAUUGAUCGAACCGGAGGUUUUAUUACGUA